RNAcentral lists this ribosomal RNA (782 nucleotides) under uncultured fungus. RNAcentral describes it as "eukaryotic LSU rRNA". The stretch from base 1 to 241 matches the Rfam family "Eukaryotic small subunit ribosomal RNA", at positions 1593 to 1831 of the family's 1831-position model. The record is from RNAcentral. Lineage: Eukaryota; Fungi.
UUGCUCUUCAACGAGGAAUCCCUAGUAAGCGCAAGUCAUCAGCUUGCGUUGAUUACGUCCCUGCCCUUUGUACACACCGCCCGUCGCUACUACCGAUUGAAUGGCUCAGUGAGGCGUUGGGACUGGCCCAGAGAGGUGGGCAACUACCACUCAGGGCCGGAAACUUCUCCAAACUCGGUCAUUUAGAGGAAGUAAAAGUCGUAACAAGGUCUCCGUUGGUGAACCAGCGGAGGGAUCAUUACUGAGUGUAAAAACUCCCAAACCACUGUGAACAUACCAUGUUGCUUCGGCGGUUCCCGUCCUGUCCUGCCUCACCGCGAGCCAGGCCGGGCCGCCGCCGGAGGACCCAAACUCUUGUCUUUAUAGUGACUUUCUGAGUAGCAUAAGCAAAAUAAAUCAAAACUUUCAGCAACGGAUCUCUUGGUUCUGGCAUCGAUGAAGAACGCAGCAAAAUGCGAUAAGUAAUGUGAAUUGCAGAAUUCAGUGAAUCAUCGAAUCUUUGAACGCACAUUGCGCCCGCCAGUACUCUGGCGGGCAUGCCUGUCUGAGCGUCAUUUCAACCCUCGGGACCCCGUUCGCGGGACCCGGCGCUGGGGAUCAGCUUGUAAAAGAGCUGGCCCUGAAAUCUAGUGGCGGUCCGCCAGCGAUCUCCUCUGUGCAGUAGUUAAUACCUCGCAGCUGGAUAGCGGUCGGGCCACGCCGUAAAACCCCCACUUUCUCAAGGUUGACCUCAGAUCAGGUAGGAAUACCCGCUGAACUUAAGCAUAUCAAUAAGCGGAGGA